AUGGAACAAUUCAACCUGGAAGAGGAAGAUUUUGAUGAUCUGGUGAUAGAUGAGGCUGAUCCGGAGAUCAAUGACAGCGUGAGAUGGCUCGCGCUGGCUAGGGUUCAUACCGAUAAAUCCUUCAGCCAAGCGGCCUUCUACAAGGAUAUGCGUGCGGCUUGGAACCCUGCGCAGCCGGUAAGGUUUCGCCCGGUUGGUCCGAAGCUUUUUGUUGUGCAAGCAUCAUGUUUGGGAGAUUGGGAACGCAUGAUGUAUCAAGGGCCUUGGCUCUUCAGGAAUUUGAUUGUGUUGAUGGUUCCAUAUGAUGGGUUCACAAAGGCAGAGGAGGUGCCCAUGGUGUUUAUGCCAAUUUGGCUACAGAUUCACAAGAUUCCAGAGGGUUUCUGCAGGAAGAACAUUGUGGAAAAUCUGCUAAAAAACUCAGGUGAGAUCUUGGAGAUGAGGCUAACCGGAAAUACCCGUGGUGACUACAUUAGGGUUAGGGUUCGGCAUGAUGUUCGUCGGCCUCUCACCAAGUAUGUCAGUAUUGUAAGGGGGAAAGAGCGCCAAGUCUGUUUGGUGCGCUAUGAGAAAUUGGCGCGCUUCUGCAGUGUAUGUGGGCUUGGUCAUGACUGCAAAGAGUGCGGAUCAGGUGUGCAUGAGGAGAAGGACAAGAAGUAUGGCUCUUGGCUCUAUGCGGAUGGUUUGAAUAAACCCCCGUCCAAUGAUAGUUUUGGCUGGGGAAGGAGUCAGAAGCAACCUACACCUCAGUCUCAACAGCAGAAGUCGCCUGGAAAGGCAGUGGUCGAUCGAUCCGGACAUCCUAGAUACGGCUACAAGCCCAGCCAAGGAAGGACACAUAUCCAAGCAUUGAGACCCGGCAGCUCGCAAAAGACUCUCCAUGGAUGA
RNAcentral lists this ribosomal RNA (888 nucleotides) under Triticum aestivum (bread wheat). RNAcentral's name for it is "partial small subunit ribosomal RNA". Lineage: Eukaryota; Viridiplantae; Streptophyta; Magnoliopsida; Poales; Poaceae. The record is from RNAcentral.